RNAcentral lists this ribosomal RNA (186 nucleotides) under uncultured Bacteroidota bacterium. Its description in RNAcentral is "uncultured Bacteroidetes bacterium partial 16S ribosomal RNA". It matches the Rfam family "Bacterial small subunit ribosomal RNA", at positions 120 to 306 of the family's 1533-position model. The record is from RNAcentral. Lineage: Bacteria; Pseudomonadati; Bacteroidota.
UGCAAUCUACCUUUUACAGAGGGAUAGCCCAGAGAAAUUUGGAUUAAUACCUCAUAGUAUAACGACUCGGCAUCGAGAUGUUAUUAAAGUCACAACGGUAAAAGAUGAGCAUGCGUCCCAUUAGCUAGUUGGUAAGGUAACGGCUUACCAAGGCAACGAUGGGUAGGGGUCCUGAGAGGGAGAUCC